GAACGUACGCUGGCGGCACGCCUAACACAUGCAAGUCGAACGAAGUAGCAAUACUUAGUGGCAGACGGGUGAGUAACAUGUAGGUAUCUGCCCUUUGGCCUGGAAUAACACGAGGAAACUUGUGCUAAUACCGGAUAAGUCUUUACGGAGAAAGCUUUAUGCACCAUUGGAUGAGCCUGCACUUGAUUAGUUUGUUGGUGGGGUAAUGGCCUACCAAGACUGUGAUCAAUAGCUGAUUUGAGAGGAUGAUCAGCCACAUUGGGACUGAGACACGGUCCAAACUCCUACGGGAGGCAGCAGUAGGGAAUCUUGCACAAUGGAGGAAACUCUGAUGCAGCGAUGCCGCGUGAGUGAAGAAGGCCUUUGGGUUGUAAAGCUCUUUCGUCGGGGAAGAAAAUGACUGUACCCGAAUAAGAAGGUCCGGCUAACUUCGUGCCAGCAGCCGCGGUAAUACGAAGGGACCUAGCGUAGUUCGGAAUUACUGGGCUUAAAGAGUUCGUAGGUGGUUAAAAAAGUUGGUGGUGAAAUCCCAGAGCUUAACUCUGGAACUGCCAUCAAAACUUUUUAGCUAGAGUAUGAUAGAGGAAAGCAGAAUUUCUAGUGUAGAGGUGAAAUUCGUAGAUAUUAGAAAGAAUACCGAUUGCGAAGGCAGCUUUCUGGAUCAUUACUGACACUGAGGAACGAAAGCAUGGGUAGCGAAGAGGAUUAGAUACCCUCGUAGUCCAUGCCGUAAACGAUGUGUGUUAGACGUUGGAAAUUUAUUUUCAGUGUCGCAGCGAAAGCGAUAAACACACCGCCUGGGGAGUACGACCGCAAGGUUAAAACUCAAAUGAAUUGACGGGGACCCGCACAAGUAGUGGAGCAUGUGGUUUAAUUCGAAGAUACGCGCAGAACCUUACCAACACUUGACAUGUUCGUCGCGACUCUAAGAGAUUAGAGUUUUCGGUUCGGCCGGACGAAACACAGGUGCUGCAUGGCUGUCGUCAGCUCGUGUCGUGAGAUGUUGGGUUAAGUCCCGCAACGAGCGCAACCCUCACUUUUAGUUGCCAUCAUUAAGUUGGGCACUCUGAAAGAACUGCCAGUGAUAAGCUGGAGGAAGGUGGGGAUGACGUCAAGUCCUCAUGGCCCUUACGUGUUGGGCUACACACGUGCUACAAUGGUAUCUACAACAGGAAGCAAAACAGCGAUGUUAAGCAAAUCCCCAAAAGAUACCUCAGUUCGGAUUGCACUCUGCAACUCGAGUGCAUGAAGCUGGAAUUACUAGUAAUCGUGGAUCAGCGUGCCACGGUGAAUGCGUUCCCGGGUCUUGUACACACCGC
RNAcentral lists this ribosomal RNA (1319 nucleotides) under uncultured Alphaproteobacteria bacterium. RNAcentral's name for it is "bacterial SSU rRNA". It matches the Rfam family "Bacterial small subunit ribosomal RNA", at positions 27 to 1393 of the family's 1533-position model. The record is from RNAcentral. Lineage: Bacteria; Pseudomonadati; Pseudomonadota; Alphaproteobacteria.